GGACUUAAAUUAGCCUCAGAUUCCACCUACAUAUUAGCACAAUUCAUAAUGGGCACCCAAUCAAUCACAACAGAUCGAAAAUACCGAUCAAUCGACCGAGUCGAUUACAUGUCAUUCGGACCAUCUCAUGGUCAUUUCAAUCAAUACCAUAUAUUCCCCACGAUGGAAUAUCUAGUCGUCAAGUCCACAUGCAUUCUCCAAGAUGACGUACCAAGUCUCUGAGGCCACGUGACUUCUCUAAGACGACCUACCUACUCAUCAACCCACGUACAUUGUUCAAGGUGGGAUACCUAGUCAUUGAGCCCACAUGCAUUCUCUAGGACGACGUACCAAGUCUCCGAGCCCACGUGCAUUCUCUAAGGCGACUUCUUCACCAAGAUGACAUACUUAAACAUUGGGUCCAUAUGCAUUCUCUUAGGCACUAGUUCACCAAGAUGAUGCAUUGAAUCACCGAGCCCACGUGUCCCUUUCACGAUGCCGUACUCAACACUGGACCCAUGUGCAUGCUCUAAGGCACUAGUUCGCCAAGAUGAUGCAUCAAAUCACUGAGCCCACGUGUCCUUUUAACGACGCCACACUCAAAUCAUUGAGCCCACGUGCAUUCUCUUAGGCACAUAUUCGCCAAAGUGAUGCAUCGAUUCACCGAACCCACGUGCCCUUUUAAUGAUGCCAUACUAAAACAUUUGGCCCACGUGCAUUCUCUUAGGCACUAGUUUGCCAAAGUGAUGCAUCAAAUCACCAAGCCCACAUGCCCUUUUUAUGAUGACAUACUUAACCACUACUCUACUAUUGAUACUAACAACCGAUACCCGAUCAUUUCUCAAUCAAAUAAUCAAAACAACCAAUUAGGAACAUAUCCUAAAAUUUCACAUUUAAAUAAUUCAGCACGAUUCGAAGCUCAAUUAAAUAAACGGACUGCACCACGACAAUCAGCAUAAAAUUCCUGUUAUCGGCUAUCACUAUCUAAUUUCCGAAAAAUAAAUAAUUAAUUAAUUAAUUUCGAAAAUUAAUAAAUAAAUACUAAAAAUCCAAUUUAGGCUUGUAAUGCCUAAUUGAAGCCCGAGAUGGGUCGGAAAAAAAUCCCGAGAUGCAUUCAAUAAAUAAUAGUACGUCUCUACUUGCUAAUUGCACAAUUCAAUUGCCUAACAUGCAUAUCAAUUAUCUUAUAAUCACUAAUCUACUCUAAUCUAACCACAUAAUUGCACUUAAUUAAAUCUAAUCAACCAUUAAGCAUAAUUAGUAAACUAAGCAAGGAUUAGUGAGCAAAGCUCAUCGGAUUAACGAUCCGUUCGGAUCAAUUUGACGGGGAUGCGACGAAGCUCGAUUCUUCUCAAAGCGGUGACACCAACGGAGCACAAAUCGGGCCCAAAACUUGGCCCGCAAAGCCCACAAUGCUGCUGGUUUUCCCUUGGCUAUUGGCUGUUUUGCAUGGCUGAUUUCGCGCGGAGAGAAGGGCUGGAUUUGCGGCUUCAACAGGCUGUUUCAGUGUAAUAGAAAGAAACAGCAAAGGAGGAGGAUUCGAGGGGGAUGGCUCGGUCUUUGAUCAAGCACAUGAAGAACCGAAAAAAAAUGAAGAACAAACGGG
This 1585-nucleotide long non-coding RNA is filed under the name Eucalyptus grandis. RNAcentral describes it as "long non-coding RNA (EGRA_LNC002230)". Lineage: Eukaryota; Viridiplantae; Streptophyta; Magnoliopsida; Myrtales; Myrtaceae. The record is from RNAcentral.